This 404-nucleotide ribosomal RNA is filed under the name uncultured cyanobacterium. Its description in RNAcentral is "bacterial SSU rRNA". It matches the Rfam family "Bacterial small subunit ribosomal RNA", at positions 370 to 788 of the family's 1533-position model. Lineage: Bacteria; Bacillati; Cyanobacteriota. The record is from RNAcentral.
AAUGGGCGAAAGCCUGACGGAGCAAGACCGCGUGGGGGAAGAAGGCUCUUGGGUUGUAAACCCCUUUUCUCUGGGAAGAACGCAAUGACGGUACCAGAGGAAUCAGCAUCGGCUAACUCCGUGCCAGCAGCCGCGGUAAGACGGAGGAUGCAAGCGUUAUCCGGAAUGAUUGGGCGUAAAGCGUCCGCAGGUGGCAGUUCAAGUCUGCUGUCAAAGACCGGGGCUCAACCUCGGAAAGGCAGUGGAAACUGAACAGCUAGAGUAUGGUAGGGGCAAAGGGAAUUCCUGGUGUAGCGGUGAAAUGCGUAGAGAUCAGGAAGAACAUCGGUGGCGAAGGCGCUUUGCUGGACCAUAACUGACACUCAGGGACGAAAGCUAGGGGAGCGAAUGGGAUUAGAUACCCC